UUGGAGACGAUAUAGUGAUUGUGGCGGCUUACCGGACUCCAAUUUGCAAAGCUAAGCGAGGAGGGUUUAAGGAUACUCCAGCUGAUGAUUUACUUGCAGUUGUUUUAAAGGCCAUGAUAGAGAAAACAAAUCUGGACCCAGGUGAAGUUAGGGAUAUAGUUGUUGGUACUAUUUUGCCACCUGGUUCACAAAGAGCAACAGAGUGUCGAAUGAUAGC
This is a long non-coding RNA of Humulus lupulus (European hop), 217 nucleotides long. RefSeq lists it as uncharacterized. The record is from RefSeq and is a predicted model, not a curated record. The transcript has 3 exons. Lineage: Eukaryota; Viridiplantae; Streptophyta; Magnoliopsida; Rosales; Cannabaceae.